This 292-nucleotide ribosomal RNA is filed under the name uncultured bacterium. RNAcentral describes it as "partial 16S ribosomal RNA". It matches the Rfam family "Archaeal small subunit ribosomal RNA", at positions 455 to 747 of the family's 1478-position model. The record is from RNAcentral.
GUGCAGCAGCCGCGGUAAUACCGGCAGCUCAAGUGAUGUCCCAUAUUAUUGGGCCUAAAGCGUCCGUAUCUGGCCGACCAAGUCUCCCGGGAAAUCCACCCGCCCAACGGGUGGGCGUCCGGUAGAAACUGGCCGGCUUGGAACCGGAAGGCUCAGAGAGUACGUCCGGGGUAGGAGUGAAAUCCCGUAAUCCCGGACGGACUACCGAUGGCGAAAGCACUUCGAGAAAACGGAUCCGACAGUGAGGGACGAAAGCCAGGGUCUCCAACCGGAUUAGAAACCCCUGUAGUCC